Bos taurus (domestic cattle) is the source of this 521-nucleotide long non-coding RNA. Lineage: Eukaryota; Metazoa; Chordata; Mammalia; Artiodactyla; Bovidae. The record is from Ensembl.
GAGUGAACAGCCGUCAGUUUCACUUCGGCAGCUUCUGUGAACUGAGAGGCAUGCAACUGUCAGGUCCAGGGAAGAGUUUAAGUGGAGCUGGAACUUCGAUCACAAAUCCCGAGAAGCCAGUGUAGAAAGGAGUCUCCUGGGCCUUAGAUUUCCUCUUGGCCUGCCUUCUUCUCUGAAAGUCAGACCCCACAGAUCUACUCCCUUCAAGACUCCUCAAAAUGUCAGUAAGCAACAAGAGGGAAAGGCUGCUUCAACCCAUCAGUGAGCUUUCACUGGCACCAACUACUACAUCUUUUGCUCUCCAAUAUCUGAGCCUGUUUUGUGCCUCCUGGCUCAUCAUCACCAGGAUUUUCAAUGGCUCCAACCGAAUCAUUUGAAUUUUGAAACAUCUUGGUCAAAAAACAUUUAUAAAAAGAUUUCACAUGUCUAUCAGGGCAAUUGAAACUAUCAUCAAGGCGAAAAGACAGCCUUCAGAAUGGGAGAAAACAAUAGCAAAUGAAGCAACUGACAAACAACUAAUC